CCUACGGGUGGCAGCAGUGGGGGAUAUUGCACAAUGGGGGGCACCCUGAUGCAGCGCCGCCGCGUGGGUGAAGGAGUGCUUCGGCAUGUAAAGCCCUAUCGGCAGGGAAGAAGCAAGACGGUACCUGACCAAGAAGCCCCGGCUAACUCCGGGCCAGCAGCCGCGGUAAGACGUAGGGGGCGCGCGUUAUCCGGAUGCACUGGGAGUAAAGUGAGCGUAGACGGCAAUGCAAGCCAGGGGUGAAAGCCCGGGGCCCAACCCCGGGACUGCCCUGGGAACUGCAUGGCUGGAGUGCGGGAGGGGCAGGCGGAAUUCCUGGUGGAGCGGUGAAAUGCGUAGAUAUCAGGAGGAACACCGGCGGCGAAGGCGGCCUGCUGGACCGCGACUGACGUUGAGGCUCGAAAGCGUGGGGAGCGAACAGGAUUAGAUACCCCAGUAGUC
This 441-nucleotide ribosomal RNA is filed under the name uncultured bacterium. RNAcentral's name for it is "partial 16S ribosomal RNA". It matches the Rfam family "Bacterial small subunit ribosomal RNA", at positions 338 to 795 of the family's 1533-position model. The record is from RNAcentral.